GGAUUGUAGCUCAGUGGUAGAGCACUUGCCUUGAAUGUAUGAGGCUGGAUUCAAUCCUCAGCACCA
RNAcentral lists this transfer RNA (66 nucleotides) under Marmota monax (woodchuck). RNAcentral's name for it is "tRNA.Ser". The stretch from base 1 to 59 matches the Rfam family "tRNA". From Rfam's summary of the family: Transfer RNA (tRNA) molecules are approximately 80 nucleotides in length. Their secondary structure includes four short double-helical elements and three loops (D, anti-codon, and T loops). Further hydrogen bonds mediate the characteristic L-shaped molecular structure. tRNAs have two regions of fundamental functional importance: the anti-codon, which is responsible for specific mRNA codon recognition, and the 3' end, to which the tRNAs corresponding amino acid is attached (by aminoacyl-tRNA synthetases). tRNAs cope with the degeneracy of the genetic code in two manners: having more than one tRNA (with a specific anti-codon) for a particular amino acid; and 'wobble' base-pairing, i.e. permitting non-standard base-pairing at the 3rd anti-codon position. The record is from RNAcentral. Lineage: Eukaryota; Metazoa; Chordata; Mammalia; Rodentia; Sciuridae.